UACGGGGGGAGCAAGCGUUGUUCGGAUUUACUGGGCGUAAAGGGCGCGUAGGCGGUCGUGACAAGUCACUUGUGAAAUCUCCGGGCUUAACUCGGAACGGUCAAGUGAUACUGUCGGACUAGAGUACAGAAGGGGCAACUGGAAUUCUCGGUGUAGCGGUGAAAUGCGUAGAUAUCGAGAGGAACACCUGCGGCGAAGGCGGGUUGCUGGGCUGAUACUGACGCUGAGACGCGAAAGCGUGGGGGAGCAAACAGG
This 255-nucleotide ribosomal RNA is filed under the name uncultured bacterium. RNAcentral describes it as "partial 16S ribosomal RNA". It matches the Rfam family "Bacterial small subunit ribosomal RNA", at positions 524 to 776 of the family's 1533-position model. The record is from RNAcentral.